This 454-nucleotide ribosomal RNA is filed under the name uncultured Prevotella sp. RNAcentral describes it as "partial 16S ribosomal RNA". It matches the Rfam family "Bacterial small subunit ribosomal RNA", at positions 341 to 792 of the family's 1533-position model. Lineage: Bacteria; Pseudomonadati; Bacteroidota; Bacteroidia; Bacteroidales; Prevotellaceae. The record is from RNAcentral.
ACGGGAGGCAGCAGUGAGGAAUAUUGGUCAAUGGACGGAAGUCUGAACCAGCCAAGUCGCGUGAAGGAUGAAGGUAUUAUGUAUUGUAAACUUCUUUAGCAGUGGAGUAAUAAGGGGAUCGCGAUCCCUGAUGCAAGUACACUGAGAAUAAGGAUCGGCUAACUCCGUGCCAGCAGCCGCGGUAAUACGGAAGGUCCGGGCGUUAUCCGGAUUUAUUGGGUUUAAAGGGAGCGUAGGCGGUAUUUUAAGCGUGUUGUGAAAUGUAGAUGCUCAACAUCUGAAUUGCAGCGCGAACUGGAGUACUUGAGUGCGCAGGAAGUUGGCGGAAUUCGUCGUGUAGCGGUGAAAUGCUUAGAUAUGACGAAGAACUCCGAUUGCGAAGGCAGCUGACUGUAGCGUAACUGACGCUGAAGCUCGAAAGUGCGGGUAUCGAACAGGAUUAGAUACCCUGGUA